This is a transfer RNA of Fistulifera solaris, 73 nucleotides long. It matches the Rfam family "tRNA". From Rfam's summary of the family: Transfer RNA (tRNA) molecules are approximately 80 nucleotides in length. Their secondary structure includes four short double-helical elements and three loops (D, anti-codon, and T loops). The record is from Rfam. NCBI's taxonomy places the organism in Eukaryota, Bacillariophyta, Bacillariophyceae, Naviculales, Stauroneidaceae.
GGUGGAUUAGCUCAGUUGGUAGAGCAUCGGAUUCCAGUCCCGAAGGUCGCCGGUUCAAGUCUGGUAUCCAUCA